AUUGAACGCUGGCGGAAUGCUUUACACAUGCAAGUCGAACGGCAGCACGGACUUCGGUCUGGUGGCGAGUGGCGAACGGGUGAGUAAUGUAUCGGAACGUGCCCAGUCGUGGGGGAUAACGUAGUGAAAAUUACGCUAAUACCGCAUACGAUCUAUGGAUGAAAGCGGGGGAUCGCAAGACCUCGCGCGAUUGGAGCGGCCGAUAUCAGAUUAGGUAGUUGGUGGGGUAAAGGCCCACCAAGCCAACGAUCUGUAGCUGGUCUGAGAGGACGGCCAGCCACACUGGACCUGAGAUACGGUCCAGACUCCAACGGGAGGCAGCAGUGGGGAAUUUUGGACAAUGGGCGAAAGCCUGAUCCAGCCAUUCCGCGUGCAGGAUGAAGGCCCUCGGGUUGUAAACUGCUUUUGUACAGAACGAAAAGGUUUCUACUAAUACUAGGAGCUCAUGACGGUACUGUAAGAAUAAGCACCGGCUAACUACGUGCCAGCAGCCGCCGUAA
This 500-nucleotide ribosomal RNA is filed under the name uncultured bacterium. RNAcentral's name for it is "partial 16S ribosomal RNA". It matches the Rfam family "Bacterial small subunit ribosomal RNA", at positions 30 to 523 of the family's 1533-position model. The record is from RNAcentral.